GAUGAACGCUGGCGGCGUGCCUAAUACAUGCAAGUCGAGCGAACGGACGAGAAGCUUGCUUCUCUGAUGUUAGCGGCGGACGGGUGAGUAACACGUGGAUAACCUACCUAUAAGACUGGGAUAACUUCGGGAAACCGGAGCUAAUACCGGAUAAUAUUUUGAACCGCAUGGUUCAAAAGUAAAAGACGGUCUUGCUGUCACUUAUAGAUGGAUCCGCGCUGCAUUAGCUAGUUGGUAAGGUAACGGCUUACCAAGGCAACGAUGCAUAGCCGACCUGAGAGGGUGAUCGGCCACACUGGAACGGAGACACGGUCCAGACUCCUGCGGGAGGCAGCAGUAGGGAAUCUUCCGCAAUGGGCGAAAGCCUGACGGAGCAACGCCGCGUGAGUGAUGAAGGUCUUCGGAUCGUAAAACUCUGUUAUUAGGGAAGAACAUAUGUGUAAGUAACUGUGCACAUCUUGACGGUACCUAAUCAGAAAGCCACGGCUAACUACGUG
This 497-nucleotide ribosomal RNA is filed under the name uncultured bacterium. Its description in RNAcentral is "partial 16S ribosomal RNA". It matches the Rfam family "Bacterial small subunit ribosomal RNA", at positions 28 to 507 of the family's 1533-position model. The record is from RNAcentral.